Hydractinia symbiolongicarpus is the source of this 4170-nucleotide long non-coding RNA. RefSeq lists it as uncharacterized. The record is from RefSeq and is a predicted model, not a curated record. The transcript is spliced from 2 exons. NCBI's taxonomy places the organism in Eukaryota, Metazoa, Cnidaria, Hydrozoa, Anthoathecata, Hydractiniidae.
UGGUUCUUGAGUGAAGUAAUUGUAAGAAGAAAAUCUUGCUCCAGGUUGUGACUUCAUUAUUGCGUACUGAGGCUGUUUUUUAUAUCCUUAGAGACAACGAAGACAGUCCCUAUUUUUCCAAAGCCAUUCUUAAUAGAACAUUGUGACAUGUUGCAUGUGACAUGGAGGCUCAAUGGUCUAGUGGCAUGAUUCUCGCUUUGGGUGCAAGAGGUCCCGGGUUCAAAUCCCGGUUGAGCCCAUUAUUAAAGUGUAACUAAUGUUAAAGAUAGGGACUGCGUUCUUCGUCUCUAUGGAUAUAAUGAAAUGCACGGGACAUAGAGGCUCAAUGGUCUAGUGGCAUGAUUCUUGAUUUAGGUUCAAAUCCCGGUUGAGCCCAUUGUUGGAGUGUAACUAAUGUUGUCAGUGCAAUUUCCGCUUGUUUCAUUUUUCACAAAGACACUCGAAAUAGCACAUCCUUAAUGCUAUUUACUGCAGAGAACAAACCAAACUCGACUGAAUCGCAAGUCUUGCCCUGAAGUUAAGAGUACUUCCUUAUUGUAGGUGUUAUCACAUGCGCCUAACAUCCCUAACGUGCAUUUUGGAUUCGGGUCAGGCACACAUGUAGUAAUAACUUAACUACUCUGGGUCCAAGUCUUACGCAGUUGUAUAGCUACGGACUCUGUGGCGCAAUGGUAGCGCGUCUGACUCCAGAUCAAAAAGUUGCGUGUUCAAUUCAAGUCAGAGUCAGAAAAAACAGUAUUAAAACAUGGUUACAAAAUAAUGGUUCUUGAGUGAAGUAAUUGUAAGAAGAAAAUCUUGCUCCAGGUUGUAAAUUCAUUAUUGCGUACUGAAGCUGUUUUUUAUAUCCUUAGAGACAACGAAGACAGUCCUUAUUUUUCCAAAGCCAUUCUUAAUAGAACAUUGUGACAUGUUGCAUAUGACAUGGAAGCUCAAUGGUCUAGUGGCAUGAUUCUCGCUUUGGGUGCGAGAGGUCCCGAGUUCAAAUCCCGGUUGAGCCCAUUAUUAAAGUGUAACUAAUGUUAAAGAUAGGGACUGUCUUCUUCGUCUCUAUGGAUAUAAUAAAAUGCACGGGACAUAGAGGCUCAAUGGUCUAGUGGCAUGAUUCUUUCUUUAGGUUCAAAUCCCGGUUGAGCCCAUUGUUGGAGUGUAACUAAUGUUGUCAGUGCAAUUUCCGCUUGUUUCAUUUUUUACAAAGACACUCGAAAUAGCACAUCCUUAAUGCUAUUUACUGCAGAGAACAAACCAAACUCGACUGAAUCGCAAGUCUUGCCCUGAAGUUAAGAGUACUUCCUUAUUGUAGGUGUUAUCACAUGCGCCUAACAUCCCUAACGUGCCUUUUGGAUUCGGGUCAGGUACACAUGUAGUAAUAACUUAAACUACUCUGGGUCCCAGUCUUACGCAGUUGUAUAGCUAUGGACUCUGUGGCGCAAUGGUAGCGCGUCUGACUCCAGAUCAGAAGGUUGCGUGUUCAAUUCACGUAAGAGUCAGAAAAAACAGUAUUAAAACAUGGUUACAAAAUAAUGGUUCUUGAGUGAAGUAAUUGUAAAAAGAAAAUCUUGCUCCAGGUUGUGACUGUUGUGAAUGGCUACGGUCUCUGUGGCGCAAUGGUAGCGCGUCUGACUCCAGAUCAGAAGGUUGCGUGUUCAAUUCAAGUCAGAGUCUGAUGGUUCUAAUGGUUCUUGAGUGAAGUAAUUGUAAAAAGAAAAUCUUGCUCCAGGUUGUGACUGUUGUGAAUGGCUACGGUCUCUGUGGCGCAAUGGCAGCGCGUCUGACUCCAGAUCAGAAGGUUGCGUGUUCAAUUCAAGUCAGAGUCAGAAAAAACAGUAUCAAAACAUGGUUACAAAAUAAUAGUUCUUGAGUUAAGUAAUUGUAAGAAGAAAAUCUUGCUUCAGGUUGUGACUUCAUUAUUGCGUACUGAGGCUUUUUUUUAUAUACUUAGAGACAACGAAGACAGUCCCUAUUUUUCCAAAUCCAUUCUUAAUAGAACAUUGUGACAUGUUGCAUGUGACAUGGAGGCUCAAUGGUCUAGUGGCAUGAUUCUCGAUUUGGGUGCGAGAGGUCCCGGGUUCAAAUCCCGGUUGAGCCCAUUAUUAAAGUGUAACUAAUGUUAAAGAUAGGGACUGUCUUCUUCGUCUCUAUGGAUAUAAUAAAAUGCACGGGACAUAGAGGCUCAAUGGUCUAGUGGAAUAAUUCUUGAUCUAGGUUCAAAUCCCGGUUGAGCCUAUUGUUGGAGUGUAACUAAUGUUGUCAGUGCAAUUUCCGCUUGUUUCAUUUUUUACAAAGACACUCGAAAUAGCACAUCCUUAAUGCUAUUUACUGCAGAGAACAAACCAAACUCGACUGAAUCGCAAGUCUUGCCCUGAAGUUAAGAGUACUUCCUUAUUGUAGGUGUUAUCACAUGCGCCUAACAUCCCUAACGUGCCUUUUGGAUUCGGGUCAGGUACACAUGUAGUAAUAACUUAAACUACUCUGGGUCCCAGUUUUACGCAGUUCUUUAGCUACGGACUCUGUGGCGCAAUGGUAGCGCGUCUGACUCCAGAUCAGAAGGUUGCGUGUUCAAUUCACGUCAGAGCCAGAAAAAACAGUAUUAAAACAUGGUUACAAAAUAAUGGUUCUUGAGUGAAGUAAUUGUAAGAAGAAAAUCUUGCUCCAGGUUAUGACUUCAUUAUUGCGUACUGAGGCUUUUUUUCAUAUCCUUAGAGACAACGAAGACAGUCCCUAUUUUUCCAAAGCCAUUCUUAAUAGAACAUUGUGACAUGUUGCAUGUGACAUUGAGGCUCGAUAGUCUAGUGGCAUGAUUCUCGCUUUGGGUGCGAGAGGUCCCGGGUUCAAAUCCCGGUUGAGCCCAUCAUUAAACUGUACCUAAAGUUAAAGAUAGGGACUGUCUUCUUCGUCUCUAUGGAUAUAAUAAAAUGCACGGGACAUAGAGGCUCAAUGGUCUAGUGGCAUGAUUCUUGCUUUAGGUUCAAAUCCCGGUUGAGCCCAUUGUUGGAGUGUAACUAAUGUUGUCAGUGCAAUUUCCGCUUGUUUCAUUUUUUAGAAAGACACUCGAAAUAGCACAUCCUUAAUGCUAUUUACUGCAGAGAACAAACCAAACUAGACUGAAUCGCAAGUCUUGCCCUGAAGUUAAGAGUACUUCCUUAUUGUAGGUGUUAUCACAUGCGCCUAACAUCCCUAACGUGCCUUUUGGAUUCGGGUGAGGUACACAUGUAGUAAUAACUUAAGCUACUCUGGGUCCCAGUCUUACGCAGUUGUAUAGCUACGGACUCUGUGGCGCAAUGGUAGCGCGUCUGACUCCAGAUCAGAAGGUUGCGUGUUCAAUUCACGUCAGAGUCAGAAAAAACAGUAUUAAAACAUGGUUACAAAAUAAUGGUUCUUAAGUGAAGUAAUUGUAAGAAGAAAAUCUUGCUCCAGGUUAUGACUUCAUUAUUGCGUACUGAGGCUUUUUUUCAUAUCCUUAGAGAGAACGAAGACAGUCCCUAUUUUUCCAAAGCCAUUCUUAAUAGAACAUUGUGACAUGUUGCAUGUGACAUGGAAGCUCGAUGGUCUAGUGGCAUGAUUCUCGCUUUGGGUGCGAGAGGUCCCGGGUUCAAUUCCCGGUUGAGCCCAUUAUUAAAGUGUAACUAAUGUUAAAGAUAGGGACUGUCUUCUUCGUCUCUAUGGAUAUAUUAAAAUGCACAGGACAUAGAGGCUCAAUGGUCUAGUGGCAUGAUUCUUGCUUUAGGUUCAAAUCCCGGUUGAGCCCAUUGUUGGAGUGUAACUAAUGUUGUCAGUGCAAUUUCCGCUUGUUUCAUUUUUUAGAAAGACACUCGAAAUAGCGGGUCACAGUCUUACGCAGUUGUAUAGCUACGGAGACUGUGGCGCAAUGGUAGCGCGUCUGACUCCAGAUCAGAAGGUUGCGUGUUCAAUUCAAGUCAGAGUCAGAAAAAACAGUAUUAAAACAUGGUUACAAAAUAAUAGUUCUUGAGUUAAGUAAUUGUAAGAAGAAAAUCUUGCUUCAGGUUGUGACUUCAUUAUUGCGUACUGAGGCUUUUUUUCAUAUCCUUAGAGACAACGAAGACAGUCCCUAUUUUUCCAAAGCCAUUCUUAAUAGAACAUUGUGACAUGUUGCAUGUGACAUGGAGGCUCGAUGGUCUAGUGGCAUGAUUCUCGCUUUGGGUGCGAGAGGUC